CCUAUUCUUGAUUGCUUGCACU
This 22-nucleotide microRNA is filed under the name Scyliorhinus torazame (cloudy catshark). Its description in RNAcentral is "Sto-Mir-26-P1_3p* (star (passenger))". Lineage: Eukaryota; Metazoa; Chordata; Chondrichthyes; Carcharhiniformes; Scyliorhinidae. The record is from RNAcentral.